AAUUGAAGAGUUUGAUCAUGGCUCAGAUUGAACGCUGGCGGCAGGCCUAACACAUGCAAGUCGAGCGGUAACAGGAAGAAGCUUGCUUCUUUGCUGACGAGCGGCGGACGGGUGAGUAAUGUAUGGGGAUCUGCCUGACAGAGGGGGAUAACUACUGGAAACGGUAGCUAAUACCGCAUAAUCUCUAAGGAGCAAAGCAGGGGACCUUCGGGCCUUGCGCUGUCGGAUGAACCCAUAUGGGAUUAGCUAGUAGGUGGGGUAAUGGCUCACCUAGGCGACGAUCUCUAGCUGGUCUGAGAGGAUGAUCAGCCACACUGGGACUGAGACACGGCCCAGACUCCUACGGGAGGCAGCAGUGGGGAAUAUUGCACAAUGGGCGCAAGCCUGAUGCAGCCAUGCCGCGUGUAUGAAGAAGGCCUUAGGGUUGUAAAGUACUUUCAGUCGGGAGGAAGGCGUUGAUAUUAAUACUAUCAGCGAUUGACGUUACCGACAGAAGAAGCACCGGCUAACUCCGUGCCAGCAGCCGCGGUAAUACGGGGGGUGCAAGCGUUAAUCGGAAUUACUGGGCGUAAAGCGCACGCAGGCGGUUGAUUAAGUUAGAUGUGAAAUCCCCGGGCUUAACCUGGGAAUGGCAUCUAAAACUGGUCAGCUAGAGUCUUGUAGAGGGGGGUAGAAUUCCA
Molecule: ribosomal RNA, 680 nt
Filed under: Moellerella wisconsensis ATCC 35017
Lineage: Bacteria; Pseudomonadati; Pseudomonadota; Gammaproteobacteria; Enterobacterales; Morganellaceae
Description: bacterial SSU rRNA
Rfam family: Bacterial small subunit ribosomal RNA
Source: RNAcentral